Molecule: long non-coding RNA, 5610 nt
Organism: Centrocercus urophasianus (Greater sage-grouse)
Lineage: Eukaryota; Metazoa; Chordata; Aves; Galliformes; Phasianidae
Exons: 3
Source: RefSeq, a predicted model, not a curated record
UUUUGCUACUCUGCUAUUAUUGCUGUACUUUCCAUCAUAUUAUAGCAAUGCAGCACUGCAAUGGGUCUGCUGGGUUGGUUGCCAAACAAGAGGCUUCAGUCUCGGCUCCUACAAUUCACAACAAUGAGGCAUUUCCCUGCAGGAGCUCUGGUCCUUCGAGGGCACGCAAAAAGGCCCUGCAAGCUUCCUAUCCAUACAGCUGUAGAUUACAACUUGGGCUAUAGUACUAUAGCCAUUCACUGCCAAGAGGACAGUGAUGCAGGACUUUUGCCUACUGAAUCUCAGGGAAGCAUGCUUCUAAGUAUCUACUGUUGUUUUCUGGAGCUGUACUGAGUGUGCACACAGUGAGCACAACAGAAUAGCACAACGCAAUAGAGAGCGUGGAUGUGGCAGAAGGGCAGAGCCUCUGGGAGAGAGGCACAUGUGCCCUCUGCGUGGACACAGCGUGGGGAAAGUGUGGUUUGGGAAGCUCAGCUCUACGCUCUGCUGCUUGGAUGUGUUGGCUUCCAGAGUCCCCGACACCCAUGUCAGGUGAGACAUGGAGAACUGGAGGCAGUGUGACACAAAGCCACUGACCUCAGACCACCACUGGCUCCUCUCCCAAUUCCCUUCCUGUAACCAAGACAGCUUUGUCAGCAUAGAUGUGCCUUUCAUGGAGUCUCAUGUGAAGACCUCUGCACUUCCUAGAAAGAAGGAACAAGACUUGAGCAGGAAAUCUGGUGAAGAGGAUGCCGUCCAUGAGCAACUGCUGCAGGAGCCAGGGGGUGCACAGUGCAGGGAAGAGCCAGCAAAUGUGCUGGAUCCCAUGUAACAAGGAACAGGUGCCUGGGGCUUCAUCUGCCUCGCACUGACACUUCACCUGUGUGAGAGCCUUUGACCGCGAUUUCUUACUCAGGAAAGCAGCAAACUUCCCCUCAGUUCCCUUGUGCAAGAAUCUGGCCGCAAUACAUUUUCCAGAUGCUAGCGAUACAGAUGGUGAGAUUGCAGAUUAACGUCUUCUCAUGACCUCGAUGCCAUCGGCUGCCUGUUGGGGGCAGGGCUGCACUCGGUGUAGGUGAAGUGCCUGCUAAAUCGGCCCGAGCUUUGCUGCUGUAAUAACCACAACAGCCUCUUAUUUGGGCUCCCGGUGCUUCACCUCUUGCCACUGUCCGUUGUUUAAAAUAGCCAUUCAUUGCAGUAUCGUUGGUUUGGGGGCAGGGAAACUGUUGCGGGCGGCUGAAAUGUAGAAGCAUCCCAUCAGUCUUCUUGGCUGGGGAUGGCUGAAGGUGAAGUAUUGUCCAGGAAGAGAGAGGGAGCAGCAAGAGAGCUGUCUUAAUUCCACCUAAACAUCCCAGGCUGUCUAUGUGAUGUCGAAGUACAGCAGCCUGGCUAACACACUGAUAAGGGGAGCUGCAGAGGACUGCUUUCCCCAGCAGAAACCACCACCACCUUCUCCAGGUUCACCCCAAGUGCCCUAUUUCCUUUGCCAUUACCAAAAUUCAUGUACCCACACCAAUUGCAGGUGCUCCUUGUGCCCCUUGCAUUGAUACCAAUCCCCAGUGGCACUUUCACUGCUGGGCUGACUUUUUCGCAUUAAGAAAUGGUUGGUGCCAGUAAAUCUCACCAAAAACCACGCUUAAGGCAGAGAAGCAAUCAGCUCAGCUUGGUUACAUGCUUAAUUCAAUGGGUUGUGGAAGAGGGAAAAAGGAACCACUCACCACUAUUGGAUUUCAUCUUGCUUUCAGUCUGUUUAGGAGUAGCUAUUUAACACUUCUGUUUUUCUAAUCAUUCUGUUGGACGCUGGAACAAAUGGCCACACUCAGUGGAAAAUAGCACUGUUAGCAGCUCAGGGUUUUCAGUGGGGACCUGCAGCCUCUCCAGGACUUGGACAGCCCUGCAGUGUGUGGGCAGUGAUGUUUCCCAUGACAUUUGGAUGCUUGCUGCUCUCUAAGCCCUGCUGCUUAGAGCAAUACCACAUCCUACUACUGCAGGAGAGUUGCAAGCCAUGUCGGGGAUGUUUUUAUGCCUUGCAAGUACGAAGCUAUCCCAGGAUUCUCAAUACCCCCAGCUCUCCAAACUGAUUCUUGGCGUUGCUGCCAUCAGCCAAAACCUGGCACAAGAAGCAAUGAGUUUUCCGGGUUAUGGAUUCUUGCACUUCAAGAAAAUGCUGCCUCUAGAGUUGUUGGAUUUUGUGCCGGAAGUGCAAAAAUGUGGCUGAGCUGGAGGACUUUUCUUCCACUUGAGAGUUAUGCUGGGCUUGCUGCUAAUCUCCCCUUGCAAAGUGAGAGAGAGAGAGAGCACCAGGAGUAAUCUUAUUUCAGGAUUGGUCUUCAGGAUGGGAAUGCAGGAGUUCAGGGCCCUGGGUCUGGCCAGGUCAUUGCUGGUGCCUUGAGCCAAAGGGCUUUGCCCACACCAAAGCUGCAUUCCUUGCACCCAAGCAGAAGGGCAAUCCCCCAGAGAACUGCCACAAAGGAGCACUUGGGAUGAUCACAAACCACACAGGGCAGCACUAGGAGAGCCAUUAGUGGCACGUGGGCACCCUCCAUAGGGUAAGGGGCAGCUGGUGUCAGCUCAGCGUGGGCGCUUGGUUGGUGGCUAGGAGUGCAAGAAGUGAUCUGGUAAGCUAACAAAUGGCAGCUGCCUGGCAGAGGCUUUGAGAUGUGUAUCUGAAGAAGUCAUUUCUUCAGAUUUCAGACAUUCAAUGCAUGCAGCCCCCUGAGUGCAUGGAGCAUUUUGGCUUUUAGCACACUUAGAGAAGCCUUAAUGGGUUUUGAAAGAGGCAAGAAAGAAUCCAUUAAUGUGUUCCUUUGUUUUCACAGCCUAUUAUCAACCCUCUCUGAUGAUCCAUGCUCUGACCUGUUAUAGGGCAACUAAUGCAGUGGUUAAUGGCAGGAAAAUGUUUACUAAGUGAAGCCCUUGGAAUUGGAGAGAGAGAGAGAAUAGAGUGGAAUCUCUCCUUGGAGACCUCUUGCCUCUAAGGCUGGUGGUAGACCUGAGGUUUUUUAAGGAUCUUGACCCUUCUACUGCUAGCCCUCAGUGCGAAAUUAACACCUUCUUUCCGCUUUGAUACAGACAAACUUGAAUUUUCAGUUUCUCUGAGGUUGGUUUCUGCUUUUUAAAGAUGAGCACUCAAGCCCUACCCUCUCUGCUGCUUGCUGAGGCAUCUGUGUGCUUUCUUCUGCUUCUCAAAUACCUGAGGAGCCAACCCAGCUCAUCCACAGCCACUGCCUUUCUAGAUUAGCUCCAUACACACCUGGGAAUACUCCGGUCUUCCCUAUCUGUACAGUUCUCAUGGAAACAAAUCUAAUUGGGUAGAUUUAUUCCACACGAGGCAGACUAGGAAAUGUAUUCUUUGAGACAGAUAACCCAAAUUUAUGGCAAGUCAAAGCCAACCGGUGUUUUGUCUUUACAUAAUUUCCUGCUCCUUCCCCUGCAGCGUUUAAUCCUCUGUGAUUAAUUACACUGAGACUUACUGAGGUCACAAUAGAUGGGGCAGGAGAGAGCCACGUGCAAAAUAACAAUCACUGUUCACUCUUCUUCACGUAAGUGGUUAAUUCUUCAAAUACUGUCAGUGGGAGUUGUUUUCAUUGGGAGUAAUUAGUCCAGUAGGAGGAUUAUUACCUGUCUUAUUAUGGAUAAGAAAGAGAAGGUAAUUUGCACAGUGCUGCUGCCUUCAUUCACCUGAAGACUGUUGUUGCUGUUAGAGGCUGUUGGGAAUUACUGGGGUGACAAGGCUCCCUCUAGCCAAAGCCAGACAUCAACCUGGCACCCGUGCAUGGGUUUUGAAAAUAAAAAAUCAAACAAAUAAAAAACCAGCACCAAAGCAUCGAUUUGGAAAUCACCUCUAUUCUUCCAGCACCAGGGUAACAGCAGUAAGGUUCUGUGAACCUGGCACAAGAUAAGGUUCAGGUGUUCCCUCUGCCAUGUCCUAAGAAUGACUUGAGCCAUCCUAGGCAUUGUCUGCCUGGGCUUUAUGUUGGGAACAGCAGUGGCUCAGCCUGAAUUCCGGGUAUCUGAACAAAAACCGUUUGUCCUGCGAUCCCGUUCUGAUCUCCCAGGGAAGGACCGUGUGCCACCUUGUGGCUAAAAUACAGAUCGACUCAACCAAGGAGGAGGGGAGAGAAGGAAAGUGACAGCAAUUCCUUAAGCAGGCGCCACGGCCAUCACCUUCUUUCAAAGGCUUCAGCAAAGGCCUGCCCUCAAAACUCAGUUCUUCUAAGGAACCCCGGGUGUUUUCAUCUGCAAAGGGUGCAGAACAGGGGAGGUUCUGCUCUUCGCGCAGCAGAGGAAACUGCCUGAAACACCAAAGAGGAAUUCCUGCUGCCCACCAUUGAAAAGCAUCCCACCACCGAGAGCUGCUCCUGCUGAUUAAACCUCCACUCACCGGCUUGUUCUGGAUUUCCAUGACCACAGCCUUCACCCUGCAAAGUCAGCUGUGCAUCACUUCCAACACGUGAGACAUCAGCUAAAUCAAUGGAGGCAGCUCAGAAAUCACAGGCCAUUAGUAAUGCAUCGAUGGGUUUGAAGGAUCUCUGCAUUAACCAGCACAGACCCUGUGGAGCAGUUCCCAUCUCCACAGAUGCUUGCUUUAUUCACCUUUCUGCUAGACAGAUUAUUCUGAUGCAGCAGGCAGCCAAAUUAAACUGGAUUUACCCAUGUCAAACAACCCUUAGGCCAGCUAUAAACUAUCAUAGAGUCAAAGAAUGGCUUGGGUUGGGAGAAUCUUAAAGAUCACCCCCUGCUGGGGGCAAGUUGCAUACCGUGAAAUCAGGCACCAGAUCCAGCUGCCCAGGGCCCCAUCCAACCUUGCCUUGAGCACCUGCAGGGAUGGGGGUUGUACUGUGUACUUGGCUUGACUGUGGUUUUCUUGGCUCAUGCCAGCAAUGCCCCAGUCAGAGCUAAAGCCCCAAGCAGAGGGGUUUCCCUCCUGCAGAAUCCCUGCUGGGUCUCUUGCAAGGCAGGGCUGGUUGCUGAGCAGGGGCAGCGCAGGCCCCAUGGCAGCCAGGAUCCCUGGUUAUGUGAUGCAGUUUUUGUUUCCCUCAUUUCUCAGUAUUUCUGAUCUGACUUCUAGUUCAGGCUUGCCUCUGCCUCCCCUCUUUGUUAUUGUUCAGAACACUGUGAUCCAGAGAGCAGACCAGAUAAAGUAACCACUGUGUCAAGUGCCUCCAGGCAAGGGCUACCUGAAGGAUAAAGAGAUAAGAGAGUCCUGGUCCAUAACUACAGAGAUGGCUGAUAAGAGCCUUACCUGUGCUCUCCUCUUGCAGGAGGGGUUGGAAAGGCAGCCCCAAAGCCCAUGUAACCACUGCUUCACGGAGAGAAUACCUGAGGAGCACACAAACACAGGAGAGCAGGGGCAGCCAGCAACCAGCGACAUCCUGUAGGAGCGCACAGCAGUGAUUUGGGAGCAGAUCAAUUAGUGAGAACCCAAUCCAAAUUUGAGAUUAGCAUUCACCAGCAGUGUAACAAGCUGCGUACUGUGGGAUGGCUGACAAGGAGGCAAGCAUGCACUCUUAUUUGCUUUUCAGCACCUUCAGUGUCUGAGGAAUACACAGUUUGCUCCACAAGUAAUGCCUCCUAAUUAUUUAUGCAGAAACUACAACAGAUACAAAGAGCACAGCAGCACUCUUCAAU